CUAGCUUUGGUUAAUGUGUUUAAUUGUAUUAUGCUCCUGAAGGAGUGCUAAUGUAAAUUAAGGAACAGCUCAUAGUAGGGUAAAAUAUUUAAGGUGUAUUGAACUUAUUUUGUGUUAAUAUUAAAAUCAUUCAGCUUUAAAUUGUUUGUUUGUUAGCCACCUGCUAAUUAUCUUUAGCUAGCCAGCUAGCGCUAGAUUAUUAAUGCCAUGUAAUCCUCCCUAUAGCAUAUUGAUAACCUGUCAUCCUCCUUAGCUAGCGCUAGCAUAUUAAUAUCAUGUCAUUCUCUUUAGCUAGCUAGCUAAAGCUAGCACAUAUAAACACAUAAACCAAAGGUAGUGCUUAGCUACAUGCUAAUCGCUAGCUAUCCGCUAAUCGCUAGCUACAUGCUAAUCGCUAGCUAAGCGCUAAUCGCUAGCUGUGCGCUAAUCGCUAGCUAACCGCUAAUCGCUAGCUAAGUGCUAGCUUUGGUUAAUGUCUUUAAUUGUGUUAUGCUCCUGAAGGAGUGCUAAUGUAAAUUAAGGAACAGCUCAUAGUAGGGUAAAAUAUUUAAGGUGUAUUGAACUUAUUUUGUGUUAAUAUUAAAAUCAUUCAGCUUUAAAUUGUUUGCUUGUUAGCCACCUUCUAAUUAUCUUUAGCUAGCCAGCUAGCGCUAGAUUAUUAAUGCCAUGUAAUCCUGCCUUUAGCAUAUUGAUAACCUGUCAUCCUCCUUAGCUAGCGCUAGCAUAUUAAUAUCAUGUCAUUCUCUUUAGCUAGCUAGCUAGAGCUAGCACACAUAAACACAUAAACCAAAGCUAGCGCUUAGCUACGUGCUAAUCGCUAGCUAACCGCUAAUCGCUAGCUAACCGCUAAUCGCUAGCUACAUGCUAAUCGCUAGCUAAGCGCUAAUCGCUAGCUGAGUGCUAGCUUUGGUUAAUGUGUUUAAUUGUAUUAUGCUCCUGAAGGAGUGCUAAUGUAAAUUAAGGAACAGCUCAUAGUAGGGUAAAAUAUUUAAGGUGUAUUGUUCUUAUUUUGUGUUAAUAUUAAAAUCAUUCAGCUUUAAAUUGUUUGUUUGUUAGCCACCUGCUAAUUAUCUUUAGCUAGCCAGCUAGCGCUAGCUUAUUAAUGUCUUGUCAUUCUCUGUAGCUAGCUGUGUGUGUGUGUGUGUGUGUGUGUGUGUGUGUGAGCAGGCUUUGGUUGUCAUGGCAAUCAGGGGAGCCCACAGCAGCUGCGCACGCUCUCUCUCUGUCUCUAACUCCUCAGAGAGACAGAAAACAUUUAAAAUGAAUCCCCUCAAAAGCAUGGCCAGGAACGACCGAAAUGAAAACCGAAAAGACCGUGAGCGUCGUCAUCUUGUUGACUAUAGCGCUGCCGAGUUUCAGUGGUUAAAGUUAAAAAAUGUGACCUGGGGAGAUUGAGAGAGAAGAGGUUCAACGAGCGUUUUUCAAGAAUCCUCCUCUCCAUUUUAACAUGGGAGUAGAUGGGGCCAUGAGAGGGAGUUGCUGGCGCAUCAGUGCGUCUCCCGCCAAAACUAUUUGUCUGACAGCUUCAGCAGUAGUAUCACUGCGACCCCAACGAAUUUACCUACGUUUCUAUCUAUAAAUUAUUUCUGUACAGUGAAAUUUGUGGCCAUGACAGCAGUUUACAAAUUUAUUUUUCGACAAAUUUUUCUCUCUCCCCACACUCUAGCGAUGAUGUCACGCACUCUGGCAGUUUUUUUCGGUUGGAGGUUCUCGCAAUACACACCCAUUCAUUUUUUGGACCGGUUUUUGGCGAUUUAUCGGCAAACCGUUUGGCGAAAUUCUUAGAAAAGUCAUAGCACUCGAUUCCCGGCCGAGCCGCACGUUUUGAUACCUUUUUUGUGUAUGUGCGACAAAAGCUCCGGGAGGAGUAGCGCGCCGAAAA
Molecule: long non-coding RNA, 1882 nt
Organism: Dicentrarchus labrax (European seabass)
Lineage: Eukaryota; Metazoa; Chordata; Actinopteri; Moronidae
Exons: 5
Source: RefSeq, a predicted model, not a curated record